GUUAAGCGACUAAGCGUACACGGUGGAUGCCCUGGCAGUCAGAGGCGAUGAAGGACGUGCUAAUCUGCGAUAAGCGUCGGUAAGGUGAUAUGAACCGUUAUAACCGGCGAUUUCCGAAUGGGGAAACCCAGUGUGUUUCGACACACUAUCAUUAACUGAAUCCAUAGGUUAAUGAGGCGAACCGGGGGAACUGAAACAUCUAAGUACCCCGAGGAAAAGAAAUCAACCGAGAUUCCCCCAGUAGCGGCGAGCGAACGGGGAGCAGCCCAGAGCCUGAAUCAGUGUGUGUGUUAGUGGAAGCGUCUGGAAAGGCGCGCGAUACAGGGUGACAGCCCCGUACACAAAAAUGCACAUGCUGUGAGCUCGAUGAGUAGGGCGGGACACGUGGUAUCCUGUCUGAAUAUGGGGGGACCAUCCUCCAAGGCUAAAUACUCCUGACUGACCGAUAGUGAACCAGUACCGUGAGGGAAAGGCGAAAAGAACCCCGGCGAGGGGAGUGAAAAAGAACCUGAAACCGUGUACGUACAAGCAGUGGGAGCCUCUUUAUGGGGUGACUGCGUACCUUUUGUAUAAUGGGUCAGCGACUUAUAUUCUGUAGCAAGGUUAACCGAAUAGGGGAGCCGAAGGGAAACCGAGUCUUAACUGGGCGUUAAGUUGCAGGGUAUAGACCCGAAACCCGGUGAUCUAGCCAUGGGCAGGUUGAAGGUUGGGUAACACUAACUGGAGGACCGAACCGACUAAUGUUGAAAAAUUAGCGGAUGACUUGUGGCUGGGGGUGAAAGGCCAAUCAAACCGGGAGAUAGCUGGUUCUCCCCGAAAGCUAUUUAGGUAGCGCCUCGUGAAUUCAUCUCCGGGGGUAGAGCACUGUUUCGGCAAGGGGGUCAUCCCGACUUACCAACCCGAUGCAAACUGCGAAUACCGGAGAAUGUUAUCACGGGAGACACACGGCGGGUGCUAACGUCCGUCGUGAAGAGGGAAACAACCCAGACCGCCAGCUAAGGUCCCAAAGUCAUGGUUAAGUGGGAAACGAUGUGGGAAGGCCCAGACAGCCAGGAUGUUGGCUUAGAAGCAGCCAUCAUUUAAAGAAAGCGUAAUAGCUCACUGGUCGAGUCGGCCUGCGCGGAAGAUGUAACGGGGCUAAACCAUGCACCGAAGCUGCGGCAGCGACGCUUAUGCGUUGUUGGGUAGGGGAGCGUUCUGUAAGCCUGUGAAGGUGUGCUGUGAGGCAUGCUGGAGGUAUCAGAAGUGCGAAUGCUGACAUAAGUAACGAUAAAGCGGGUGAAAAGCCCGCUCGCCGGAAGACCAAGGGUUCCUGUCCAACGUUAAUCGGGGCAGGGUGAGUCGACCCCUAAGGCGAGGCCGAAAGGCGUAGUCGAUGGGAAACAGGUUAAUAUUCCUGUACUUGGUGUUACUGCGAAGGGGGGACGGAGAAGGCUAUGUUGGCCGGGCGACGGUUGUCCCGGUUUAAGCGUGUAGGCUGGUUUUCCAGGCAAAUCCGGAAAAUCAAGGCUGAGGCGUGAUGACGAGGCACUACGGUGCUGAAGCAACAAAUGCCCUGCUUCCAGGAAAAGCCUCUAAGCAUCAGGUAACAUCAAAUCGUACCCCAAACCGACACAGGUGGUCAGGUAGAGAAUACCAAGGCGCUUGAGAGAACUCGGGUGAAGGAACUAGGCAAAAUGGUGCCGUAACUUCGGGAGAAGGCACGCUGAUAU
Molecule: ribosomal RNA, 1712 nt
Filed under: Escherichia coli
Lineage: Bacteria; Pseudomonadati; Pseudomonadota; Gammaproteobacteria; Enterobacterales; Enterobacteriaceae
Description: partial 23S ribosomal RNA
Rfam family: Bacterial large subunit ribosomal RNA
Source: RNAcentral